Molecule: ribosomal RNA, 301 nt
Filed under: uncultured bacterium
Lineage: Bacteria
Description: partial 16S ribosomal RNA
Rfam family: Bacterial small subunit ribosomal RNA
Source: RNAcentral
CAGCCGCCGCGGUAAAACGUAGGUGGCAAGCGUUGUCCGGAAUUAUUGGGCGUAAAGGGCUCGCAGGCGGAUUCUUAAGUCUGGUGUGAAAGCCCCCGGCUCAACCGGGGAGGGUCAUUGGAAACUGGGAAACUUGAGUGCAGAAGAGGAGAGUGGAAUUCCACGUGUAGCGGUGAAAUGCGUAGAGAUGUGGAGGAACACCAGUGGCGAAGGCGACUCUCUGGUCUGUAACUGACGCUGAGGAGCGAAAGCGUGGGGAGCGAACAGGAUUAGAUACCCCUGUAGUCCCUGUCUCUUAUAC